GCGCGUACACACUUACCGUCACUCUCCCCGAGCCACAACUUAGACAGUACAUAAAAAAUUAUUCUCGGUAAAGGGGAGGCAAGUCGUAACAUGGUAAGUGUAC
Molecule: ribosomal RNA, 103 nt
Filed under: Telmatherina opudi
Lineage: Eukaryota; Metazoa; Chordata; Actinopteri; Atheriniformes; Telmatherinidae
Description: partial 12S ribosomal RNA
Source: RNAcentral